GAUGAACGCUGGCGUCGUGCCUAACACAUGCAAGUCGAGCGAUUCUCUCCGGUGAAGAGCGGCGGACGGGUGAGUAACGCGUGGGUAACCUGCCCUGUACACACGGAUAACAUACCGAAAGGUAUGCUAAUACGAGAUAAUAUGCUUUUGUCGCAUGGUAGAAGUAUCAAAGCUCCGGCGGUACAGGAAGGAACCGCGUCUGAUUAGCUAGUUGGUAAGGUAACGGAUUACCAAGGCGACGAUCAGCAGCCGACCUUAGAGGGUGAUCGGCCACAUUGGAAAUGCGACACGGUCCAAACUCCUACGGGAGGCAGCAGUGGGGAAUAUUGCACAAUGGGCGAAAGCCUGAUGCAGCAACGCCGCGUGAGCGAUGAAGGCCUUCGGGUCGUAAAGCUCUGUCCUCAAGGAAGAAAAAAAUGACGGUACCUACAGAAGAAGCGACGGCUAAAUAUGUGCCAGCAGCCGCCGCGG
Molecule: ribosomal RNA, 471 nt
Filed under: uncultured bacterium
Lineage: Bacteria
Description: partial 16S ribosomal RNA
Rfam family: Bacterial small subunit ribosomal RNA
Source: RNAcentral